Molecule: ribosomal RNA, 484 nt
Filed under: uncultured bacterium
Lineage: Bacteria
Description: partial 16S ribosomal RNA
Rfam family: Bacterial small subunit ribosomal RNA
Source: RNAcentral
AUUGAACGCUGGCGGCAGGCCUAACACAUGCAAGUCGAGCGGAUGAAGGGAGCUUGCUCCUGGAUUCAGCGGCGGACGGGUGAGUAAUGCCUAGGAAUCUGCCUGGUAGUGGGGGAUAACGUCCGGAAACGGGCGCUAAUACCGCAUACGUCCUGAGGGAGAAAGUGGGGGAUCUUCGGACCUCACGCUAUCAGAUGAGCCUAGGUCGGGUUAGCUAGUUGGUGGGGUAAAGGCCUACCAAGGCGACGAUCCGCAACUGGUCUGAGAGGAGGAUCAGUCACACUGGAACUUGGACACGGUCCAGACGCCUACGGGAAGCAACAGUGGGGAAUAUUGGGCAAUGGGCGAAAGCCUGAUCCAGCCAUGCCGCGUGUGUGAAGAAGGUCUUCGGAUUGGAAAGCACUUUAAGUUGGGAGGAAGGGCAGUAAGUUAAUACCUUGCUGUUUUGACGUUACCAACAGAAUAAGCACCGGCUAACUUCGUG